AUUGAACGCUGGCGGCAUGCCUUACACAUGCAAGUCGAACGGCAGCACGGGUGCUUGCACCUGGUGGCGAGUGGCGAACGGGUGAGUAAUACAUUGGAACGUACCUUAUCGUGGGGGAUAACGCAGCGAAAGCUGUGCUAAUACCGCAUACGCCCUGAGGGGGAAAGCGGGGGAUCGCAAGACCUCGCGCGAUUAGAGCGGCCGAUGCCUGAUUAGCUUGUUGGUGGGGUAAAAGCCCACCAAGGCGACGAUCAGUAGCUGGUUUGAGAGGACGAUCAGCCACACUGGGACUGAGACACGGCCCAGACUCCUACGGGAGGCAGCAGUGGGGAAUUUUGGACAAUGGGGGCAACCCUGAUCCAGCAAUGCCGCGUGAGUGAAGAAGGCCUUCGGGUUGUAAAGCUUUUUUGUCAGGGAAGAAACACCGGCUUUAACACAGUCCGGGAAUGACGGUACCUGAAGAAUAAGCACCGGCUAACUACGUG
Molecule: ribosomal RNA, 485 nt
Filed under: uncultured bacterium
Lineage: Bacteria
Description: bacterial SSU rRNA
Rfam family: Bacterial small subunit ribosomal RNA
Source: RNAcentral